Molecule: small nucleolar RNA, 126 nt
Filed under: Moschus moschiferus (Siberian musk deer)
Lineage: Eukaryota; Metazoa; Chordata; Mammalia; Artiodactyla; Moschidae
Description: Small nucleolar RNA SNORA70 (ENSMMSG00000013115.1)
Rfam family: Small nucleolar RNA SNORA70
About the family: snoRNA U70 seems to be exclusive to mammals and is a member of the H/ACA class of snoRNA which contain H (ANANNA) and ACA box motifs. H/ACA box snoRNAs are involved in the conversion of uridines to pseudouridines (5-ribosyluracil) a constituent of structural RNAs (transfer, ribosomal, small nuclear, and small nucleolar).
Source: Rfam by way of RNAcentral
UUGCAGCCAAUUAAGCCAACUGUGCUCUUUUCCCCAUAGGGACCCAGUACGCAAACAGCAGCCUUCUAGGUAGUGUAUUCAACUGGUUGCUUGUGCAGGUUGCUGUACGGUAUCUUAAAGACAACU